ACACGUUCCUCCACCGGAGGUACUGUGCUCUAUCAACAUCCACGGCAACACUAGCAACUUUUUCGGCCAACUUUCCGGUGACCCAAAUCGUCGCGUGGGGGUACUCGAGGUGCAAUUGUGUAUGGUGUUUCCGUCCUCUCUUGUUUGCAUGGCUCUUUGACAACAAAGUAUAUGACUUAGAAUCGAGGUGUACAAUCUGAUGUCAAGGCACUCCCACAUCGGCAAGUCCUCUCGAUGCAG
Pyrus x bretschneideri (Chinese white pear) is the source of this 240-nucleotide long non-coding RNA. RefSeq lists it as uncharacterized. The record is from RefSeq and is a predicted model, not a curated record. The transcript has 3 exons. NCBI's taxonomy places the organism in Eukaryota, Viridiplantae, Streptophyta, Magnoliopsida, Rosales, Rosaceae.